UACGUAGGGGGCGAGCGUUGUCCGGAGUUACUGGGCGUAAAGCGCACGCAGGCGGUCUGCUAAGUUUGGAGUGACAGUUGGUGGCUUAACUGCCAAAGUGCUUCGAAAACUGACAGACUUGAGGGCUUCAGAGGGACACGGAAUUCCGGGUGGAGUGGUGAAAUGCGUAGAGAUCGGGAGGAACACCAGAGGCGAAGGCGGCGCCCUGGACAGGUACUGACACUCAACUACGAAAGCGUGGGGAGCAAACAGG
RNAcentral lists this ribosomal RNA (253 nucleotides) under uncultured bacterium. RNAcentral's name for it is "partial 16S ribosomal RNA". It matches the Rfam family "Bacterial small subunit ribosomal RNA", at positions 524 to 776 of the family's 1533-position model. The record is from RNAcentral.